AUCGAGCUGACGAGUUCCAAUUAGGAGGGAACGCGCGUCCUGUAU
Non-coding RNA from Schistosoma mattheei, 45 nucleotides. NCBI's taxonomy places the organism in Eukaryota, Metazoa, Platyhelminthes, Trematoda, Strigeidida, Schistosomatidae. The record is from Rfam.